This is a long non-coding RNA of Meriones unguiculatus (Mongolian gerbil), 484 nucleotides long. RefSeq lists it as uncharacterized. The transcript has 3 exons. NCBI's taxonomy places the organism in Eukaryota, Metazoa, Chordata, Mammalia, Rodentia, Muridae. The record is from RefSeq and is a predicted model, not a curated record.
AAGAUGAAGAAAAAUGUCUUGGAUCCCGAUUCCGACAUAUGCCAGAUUCUUGCUCAGGAUCCCAAUUUGGAGGAAGGCUAUAUAGCUCUUACAUUCUCCUUGGGAGUCCAGUUCCUGAAGACAGUGGCUCAGAAAUGCCAAACACCUCCCAUGAAAGAAAUGAUCGAAAUUCCUGCUAAGAAAUUUCUAGGCGACUUACUCCAACUUGUCCUGAAGAAGUCUUAAACAACAGCAAUUGGUCCCAUGACAAACCCAUGGCCUGUGGAAACAUCGUGAACACAGCAGCACUCGGCUCCCCAUCUUGAACCCUUGAGACACAACCUAACUGCAAAGGCGACCCUGUCUGCAAAGAAGAGCUUGGUCUCCUGCUUAAGCACAUAGCCCCUCCCUUCCUCCCUCUCCUCCUUGCUUGGGAAAGGUUGCCAGUCUGGUAAGAGAGGCAUGCUUGCUGGCUGUGAGUUCCUCUCAGGUUCUCUGAAAUAAA